UACGGGAGGCAGCAGUGGGGAAUAUUGCACAAUGGGCGCAAGCCUGAUGCAGCCAUGCCGCGUGUGUGAAGAAGGCCUUCGGGUUGUAAAGCACUUUCAGUCAGGAGGAAAGGUUAACGGUUAAUACCCGUUAGCUGUGACGUUACUGACAGAAGAAGCACCGGCUAACUCCGUGCCAGCAGCCGCGGUAAU
This 192-nucleotide ribosomal RNA is filed under the name uncultured bacterium. RNAcentral describes it as "partial 16S ribosomal RNA". It matches the Rfam family "Bacterial small subunit ribosomal RNA", at positions 340 to 524 of the family's 1533-position model. The record is from RNAcentral.